This 863-nucleotide ribosomal RNA is filed under the name uncultured bacterium. Its description in RNAcentral is "bacterial SSU rRNA". It matches the Rfam family "Bacterial small subunit ribosomal RNA", at positions 8 to 885 of the family's 1533-position model. The record is from RNAcentral.
AGAGUUUGAUCAUGGCUCAGGACGAACGCUGGCGGCGCGCCUAACACAUGCAAGUCGAACGGGGUUGAGAGGAGCUUGCUUUUCUUGACUUAGUGGCGAACGGGUGAGUAACGCGUGAGGAACCUGCCUCAAAGAGGGGGACAACAGUUGGAAACGACUGCUAAUACCGCAUAAGCCCACGGUCCCGCAUGGGAGAGAGGGAAAAGGAGCAAUCCGCUUUGAGAUGGCCUCGCGUCCGAUUAGCUGGUUGGUGAGGUAACGGCCCACCAAGGCGACGAUCGGUAGCCGGACUGAGAGGUUGAACGGCCACAUUGGGACUGAGACACGGCCCAGACUCCUACGGGAGGCAGCAGUGGGGAAUAUUGCACAAUGGGGGAAACCCUGAUGCAGCGACGCCGCGUGGAGGAAGAAGGUCUUCGGAUUGUAAACUCCUGUUGUUGGGGAAAAAGAGGAUGGUACCCAACAAGGAAGUGACGGCUAACUACGUGCCAGCAGCCGCGGUAAAACGUAGGUCACGAACGUUGUCCGGAAUUACUGGGUGUAAAGGGUGCGUAGGCGGCCUUUUAAGUCAGCGGUGAAAGUCUGUGGCUCAACCAUAGAAUUGCCGUUGAAACUGGGGGGCUUGAGUAUGUUUGAGGCAGGCGGAAUGCGUGGUGUAGCGGUGAAAUGCUUAGAUAUCACGCAGAACCCCGAUUGCGAAGGCAGCCUGCCAAGCCAUGACUGACGCUGAUGCACGAAAGCGUGGGGAUCAAACAGGAUUAGAUACCCUGGUAGUCCACGCAGUAAACGAUGAUCACUAGCUGUUUGCGAUACAGUGUAAGCGGCACAGCGAAAGCGUUAAGUGAUCCACCUGGGGAGUACGC